UACAGAGGUCUCAAGCGUUAAUCGGAAUUACUGGGCUUAAAGGGUCCGCAGGCGGACCAGCAAGUACCUUGUGAAAUCUCAGGUCUCAACCCUGAGUCUGCUGGGUAGACUGCUGGUCUUGAGUGCAAAAGGGGUCGCUGGAACUCUAGGUGUAGAGGUGAAAUUCGUAGAUAUUCGGCGGAACACCAGUGGCGAAGGCGACUCACUGGCCCAAUACUGACGCUGAUGCGCGAAAGCGUGGGGAGCAAACAGG
This 253-nucleotide ribosomal RNA is filed under the name uncultured bacterium. RNAcentral's name for it is "partial 16S ribosomal RNA". It matches the Rfam family "Bacterial small subunit ribosomal RNA", at positions 524 to 776 of the family's 1533-position model. The record is from RNAcentral.